UUAGUACUAAGUAUGACCAGGGCCGGAUCUACCAUAUGGCUAUUUGGGCUUAAGCCCAGGGCCCCAUGAGUUCAAGGGCCUCCACAGCCCAGCUACGUCAAGUCAAAAAUAGACGAUAAUGCGAAAUAAUUCAUAAUUUUAUUAAUUUUUUGUUGGUAUCCCUGAGAAUCCUACGGUCAAGGUUUAUUAU
Long non-coding RNA from Aricia agestis (brown argus), 190 nucleotides. RefSeq lists it as uncharacterized. The transcript is spliced from 3 exons. The record is from RefSeq and is a predicted model, not a curated record. Lineage: Eukaryota; Metazoa; Arthropoda; Insecta; Lepidoptera; Lycaenidae.